GACGAACGCUGGCGGCGUGCUUAACACAUGCAAGUCGAACGGAAAGGCCCUGCUUUUGUGGGGUGCUCGAGUGGCGAACGGGUGAGUAACACGUGAGUAACCUGCCCUUGACUUUGGGAUAACUUCAGGAAACUGGGGCUAAUACCGGAUAGGAGCUCCUGCUGCAUGGUGGGGGUUGGAAAGUUUCGGCGGUUGGGGAUGGACUCGCGGCUUAUCAGCUUGUUGGUGGGGUAGUGGCUUACCAAGGCUUUGACGGGUAGCCGGCCUGGGAGGGUGACCGGCGACAUGAGACCUGAGAUAAGGCCAGGACUCCUACGGGAGGCAGGGGUGGGGAAUAUUGCACAAUGGGCGGAAGCCUGAUGCAGCAACGCCGCGUGCGGGAUGACGGCCUGCGGGUGGUAAACCGCUUUCGCCUGUGACGAAGCGUGAGUGACGGUAAUGGGUAAAGAAGCACCGGCUAACUACGUG
This 468-nucleotide ribosomal RNA is filed under the name uncultured bacterium. Its description in RNAcentral is "partial 16S ribosomal RNA". It matches the Rfam family "Bacterial small subunit ribosomal RNA", at positions 28 to 507 of the family's 1533-position model. The record is from RNAcentral.